UACGUAUGUCACGAGCGUUAUCCGGAUUUAUUGGGCGUAAAGCGCGUCUAGGUGGUUAUGUAAGUCUGAUGUGAAAAUGCAGGGCUCAACUCUGUAUUGCGUCGGAAACUGUAUAACUAGAGUACUGGAGAGGUAAGCGGAACUACAAGUGUAGAGGUGAAAUUCGUAGAUAUUUGUAGGAAUGCCGAUGGGGAAGCCAGCUUACUGGACAGAUACUGACGCUAAAGCGCGAAAGCGUGGGUAGCAAACAGGAUUAGAUACCCUGGUAGUCCACGCUGUAAACGAUGAGAGCUAGCCGUUGGGGUGCAUGCACCUCAGUGGCGCAGCUAACGCGUUAAGCUCUCCGCCUGGGGAGUACGGCCGC
RNAcentral lists this ribosomal RNA (364 nucleotides) under uncultured Fusobacterium sp. Its description in RNAcentral is "bacterial SSU rRNA". It matches the Rfam family "Bacterial small subunit ribosomal RNA", at positions 524 to 889 of the family's 1533-position model. The record is from RNAcentral. Lineage: Bacteria; Fusobacteriati; Fusobacteriota; Fusobacteriia; Fusobacteriales; Fusobacteriaceae.